ACGCUCGACACCUACGGGAGCAGCAGUGAGGAAUAUUGGUCAAUGGGCGCUAGCCUGAACCAGCCAAGUAGCGUGAAGGAUGAAGGCUCUAUGGGUCGUAAACUUCUUUUAUAUAAGAAUAAAGUGCAGUAUGUAUACUGUUUUGUAUGUAUUAUAUGAAUAAGGAUCGGCUAACUCCGUGCCAGCAGUCGCGGUAAUCUGAGCGGGCUGGCAAGGC
RNAcentral lists this ribosomal RNA (217 nucleotides) under uncultured bacterium. RNAcentral's name for it is "partial 16S ribosomal RNA". It matches the Rfam family "Bacterial small subunit ribosomal RNA", at positions 328 to 539 of the family's 1533-position model. The record is from RNAcentral.